RNAcentral lists this ribosomal RNA (497 nucleotides) under uncultured bacterium. RNAcentral describes it as "partial 16S ribosomal RNA". It matches the Rfam family "Bacterial small subunit ribosomal RNA", at positions 28 to 507 of the family's 1533-position model. The record is from RNAcentral.
GAUGAACGCUGGCGGCGUGCCUAAUACAUGCAAGUCGAGCGAACAGACGAGGAGCUUGCUCCUCUGACGUUAGCGGCGGACGGGUGAGUAACACGUGGAUAACCUACCUAUAAGACUGGGAUAACUUCGGGAAACCGGAGCUAAUACCGGAUAAUAUAUUGAACCGCAUGGUUCAAUAGUGAAAGACGGUUUUGCUGUCACUUAUAGAUGGAUCCGCGCCGCAUUAGCUAGUUGGUAAGGUAACGGCUUACCAAGGCAACGAUGCGUAGCCGACCUGAGAGGGUGAUCGGCCACCAUGGAACUGAGACACGGUCCAGACUCCUACGGGAGGCAGCAGUAGGGAAUCUUCCGCAAUGGGCGAAAGCCUGACGGAGCAACGCCGCGUGAGUGAUGAAGGUCUUCGGAUCGUAAAACUCUGUUAUUAGGGAAGGACAAAUGUGUAAGUAACUAUGCACGUCUUGACGGUACCUAAUCAGAAAGCCACGGCUAACUACGUG